RNAcentral lists this ribosomal RNA (406 nucleotides) under uncultured bacterium. RNAcentral describes it as "partial 16S ribosomal RNA". It matches the Rfam family "Bacterial small subunit ribosomal RNA", at positions 30 to 526 of the family's 1533-position model. The record is from RNAcentral.
AUUGAACGCUGGCGGCAGGCCUAACACAUGCAAGUCGAACGAGUGGCGGACGGGUGAGUAAUGUCUGGGAAACUGCCCGAUGGAGGGGGAUAACUACUGGAAACGGUAGCUAAUACCGCAUACCAUCGGAUGUGCCCAUAGGGGAUUAGCUAGUAGGUGGGGUAACGGCUCACCUAGGCGACGAUCCGUAGCUGGUCUUAGCGGAUGACCAGCCACAGUGGAACUGAUACACGGGCCAUCCGCCUACGGGAGGCAGCAGUGGGGAAUAUUGCACAAUGGGCGCAAGCCUGCUGCAGCCAUGCCGCGUGUAUGAAGAAGGCCUUCGGGUUGUAAAGUACUUUCAGCGAGGAGGCGUUACUCGCAGAAGAAGCACCGGCUAACUCCGUGCCAGCAGCCGCGGUAAUAC